UACGGAGGGAGCUAGCGUUGUUCGGAUAUACUGGGCGUAAAGCGCACGUAGGCGGCGCAGCAAGUCAGGGGUGAAAUCCCGGAGCUCAACUCCGGAACUGCCUUUGAAACUGCAGUGCUAGAAUCCUGGAGAGGCGAGUGGAAUUCCGAGUGUAGAGGUGAAAUUCGUAGAUAUUCGGAAGAACACCAGUGGCGAAGGCGACUCGCUGGACAGGGUAUUGACGCUGAGGUGCGAAAGCGUGGGGAGCAAACAGG
RNAcentral lists this ribosomal RNA (254 nucleotides) under uncultured bacterium. RNAcentral's name for it is "partial 16S ribosomal RNA". It matches the Rfam family "Bacterial small subunit ribosomal RNA", at positions 524 to 776 of the family's 1533-position model. The record is from RNAcentral.